Non-coding RNA from Zonotrichia albicollis (white-throated sparrow), 7119 nucleotides. The record is from RefSeq and is a predicted model, not a curated record. Lineage: Eukaryota; Metazoa; Chordata; Aves; Passeriformes; Passerellidae.
GGACAGAGCAGAGGGGUCACUGGGUCAAUGCUGGGGGCAGAGGGGGGCAAAAGGAGAAAAAAUUAAAAUAUUCUCUAAGAAGUCACUGAGAUGAGGCAGUUACAGCAGUAUUAGCACAACACACACACAGACACCAAGAGACACAGACAUGGGAACACUGAAGGACACCCAGAGACACACUGAGGCACUGCCAGGUGUGCACAGACACCCACGGGGGGAGAUGGUGACCAAGAGACCCUGACACACAGACACACACAGAGCUAUGUCAGCCAGCUGCAGCCAGCACCACCCAGCACCAGAAGGCAAUUGUCAUUUCUGUGUUUACCCUAAGUGUCUGCACCCUCCUUUCCUUAUCCAUGGCAUGUCUGUUUUGAUUGGCCAGGAAGAAAAGCUGUUGGCACUGAUGUUAUCAAUUUUCUGAGCUUAUCAUCAGCUUUGUAGUAAGUGGAGGGGGGUAGAGGGGCAGAGGACAAUCCCUCCCCAGCACAGAUCCAGGAUCACACCCCACACUGAGCAUGGCCAGCUGUGACAGGUUGCUCAUAGUCCUGUCCAGUUGCUAUCUGAGUUCACUCAAGGAUGGAGAUUCUCCUCAAAGCUCUUUGUAUCCCUCUCAAAAGCACUCUGUCCCCAGUGUGAAGGAAGUGCUGACAUUUGUUCAGAGCUCCCCUUGCUGCAAUGUCUGAUGUGGUCUUAGGCAGAAUGUUGCUUAAUACACUCAGCAUUACAUCUACAAUGAAGGCACUCUGGUAGAAAUCCUAACCUCCUCUCCCAAGGGAAAUGGGGUGACAGUGGCACAGGACCUGGAGUGCAGCAGCUGUGAAGUGCCACAACCCUGCCCUUCCUCCCCUCUGAAACACACACAGGAAUUGGCUGUUACUACUUGCCUGUGUAGCAAUACUCUGAACAGUCAAUAUGCAUCCAGUGGUUAAAAUAAUCAUCAUUUAUCAGCUCUUCCAGAAUUGGCUGCACCUCUGACCAGUGCACACAAAGGAUUUACAGAGACACUUUUUUUACAGACAUUUCUCAAGUGCCAAACCAGACUUCUCUGGCCAGACAGCAUCCCAGUCAAUGGGCAGUUAAUAACUUCUGGAAGAAUUCUACUCUCCACUGGACUAUCAGUACUCUUUCUAAGUGUCCUCACUUUGGAUUCUAGUCUUGCACACCACAUCUGGAGCUAGGAUCCAAUUCCCUAUGCAAGACUGAGAUCAGGUAAAAAAGCUGCUCACACAAAGUGCUGGAGUUACAGCAGCAGCACAGAAAACAGGUAAGGCUCAAACCCACAAACCCACUGUGCUCAACAUGCUCACCCCACAGACUGCUCUGAAGAGGAUUCAUCACAAAAUACUAUCCUUACUUUAACAGCAGCACCACCUCCCAACUCUCACCAUAACCCUGGGUGCUUCCUAAACAAACUGUCACAGAUCAGGUGUAACCUCCUCAUGUUUAAGUGAUCAGACACUCAGAGUCAUCUCAUCCCCCAAGUUACUCAUUAAAUGGCAAAGUGUAGCUGUGUGAGAGAUGGUAACAGAUUAACCCAGCCCACAAAAUUUCCUGCUGCACCUGCAUUUGGGCUGGAGUGGCUCCCACAGCUCGGGCAAUGGGCAGCACUGGGGUGAACCCUCAGUUCAGCUGGGCUGUGCACAGAGGGCAGAUCCCAAGGGCAUCAGCUAAACCUGGGAGAAUGGGGCUCCUGGCUGGCCAAGAACAGCUCUGACAAGAUCUCUGGGCUAAAUGGACAAGAAGUGCCAGUUCCACAAGAAGUGUCCAAUUGAACCAUGAAGAAUCAGAGCUGUGAGAUAUCAGGAACUUUUCUCUGGAGCUGAACCUUUAACAGGGGCCAGAAAUGCAGAUUUGUGUACAAAACAAACUGAAGCUCCUGAUGUGAGUCUGAACAACACCAACCCUUCUGGAUUUUAGGGUAGAAUCAGCUGAAUUGCUCAGGAAAACAGUUCUGCAUUGAGGUACAUGAAAAGGACAAAGGGAUUGAGUCAGGGGUGGUUUGGGGUGUUUUUUAAAGGUGUUGGUUCUACCUGUUCCUCUCCUUCUGUAGAUAUCCAUUUAGGAAGCUUCUUGUGAAAACAGCCAUGAUUCUUGAUUACCUAAAUCUGCCCAGAUUUCAUUUGGUCAAAUAAAACACAGAAUUAUGUAAAGGAUGUCAAUCAAAUGAAAGACGAUUUCCUGAAGCUACCAGUUAAGUGAACCAGUGGCUACUAAAUAACAUAGUCUGUGCUCUGACCAAAAAAAAAAAAAAAAAAAAAGGAAAAAAAAAUCUAUUUAAAACUAUUAGUUUAGAAGUUUAGAAUAUCUGAUUCAGACACUGUGGGUGUAUACACUGUUCAAGUUCUAAUAGCAUCAGAACCAGCACAAAUUGUCUUUGUGCUAACUUCAAGUGAGAACAGGUCAGUUCCCAUGGAGAGAAGAGUUCCCCCAAGGCAGCCUUUACUGUCUCUCCUGUUCUGCCCAUUCCCUGAAGGACAGGGGGGUGUCAGCUCAGAGGAGCCCCCUCUGUGUCCAGCAGAGUCCUUGGCUCACCACUGCACUGCAGGAGAUUCCCACUGUGCAGGACACUGCUCUGCCAUCCAGGAGCCAACCAUCUGCACCUGGGUGUCCCAAGAGCUUCCCAAAACCUCCUGAAAACCAGGUCACAACAGGGAUAACUCAGAAUCCAGGCACCUGCCAGUAAUAAAAGAAUCUCAGCUUCACACUGAGAACACUUCAUUUCUUGGGAUGCCAGAAUGGCAGAAAUUAGCUUUUCUUUAAAUGGAGAGGCCUUUCACCUGAUGUGUCAAAAUAUCAGGCUGUGCUCCUCCAGAUUGACUGCAGUGAAGCACACCUUCAUGUAACAGCAUCAUUGAAGAAGUCUGUGGCAAGACUGAUAUGCAAACAUCAGUGUUUUGAACAAGUUUGCAGCACUCCCCUCCCAGACUCUGAGCUGGCAGCCCCUGGCAGGUGGGGCAGCAUCCAGCAAGUGCUGAUUCCUUCUUCAUUGUUACUGCUUCAGUUGUUUUAAUUCUCCUACUGAGUUCCACCAUGUACCUGCUCAUGAGGGUUAUGGGCAUUGCAAAGCCCACCUGACAGUGAGUAUGGUACAACAGCAACUGCUCAAGCUUUAAGGAGGGAACUGCUCACACCUCAUUAAAUGCUGGAGCCUCAGCCUGUGCCUGCUGUGCUGCUCACGUUCUCUACCACAGGGGGAGGACUCACCACUUCUACUGUCAGCAGCAGCACCACACUGGUACAACACAAAGCAUCAGCCACAAUGUCCUGUACCAGCCACCACAGGAACUCCUGUCCAGAGCUCCCAGCCCAAGCAAAGCUGAGGCUCAGGUUUUCAGAUUGAUGCAGUCACGUUGCACCUUCCUCUUCCACAUGUGCUGCUUUUUUCCAGGAGGUUAUCAGAUUCCAUCAGCUUGAAGAGUUUAAAUGCACCAUACUGUUCUCCAGCACAGAAUGUUUUCUGGAAGGAUGUCACCGAAGACAGUAGGAAAGAAACCACAAUAAGCAACACAAGUCAAUCUUUAUUGAAAACUGAAGUAUUAAUACAUAACAAUUCUUGUUACAAUAAACGUGCUUUUAAGAAUUUAAACUUGAGCUCAUCUACUCAUUGAAUUGCAUAAAAAAUAAAAAAAGUAUGAAUUUUCACAAUUGAACUGGCUCAGAAUGGAAUCUCCACUCUUUGUGUUGAUGCGAUAGUUCAAUGCAGGAGUGAGUGAUGCCUUAAAACUUAUUCUGGAAGACAACAUUGACCUAAACUUAAAAAAAAAAGUACCAAUACAACUGUUCCUAAGACAGUUUUAAAAAAAGUCAUAAAAAGGAAACCUGUGUCUAUUUCAUAACAAACAUGGAGAACUAUUACUGGGGCCUCUUGUACUUCCAUUGCAUGCACUCACUUUUUUAGAUCUUAGGACAGGAGGGCAGCCAAUAAUAGCAUUACAAUUAAAAAAAACCCACUAACAAAUCCCUUCUACUUAAAACAAGUCUGUACAGCAGCCAGCUAAAAAAGCUUUCCCAGUUUGCCUGCUAAGUGCCCAAAAGUCACAAUCGGUUUAGAAAAGUCAUGUUCAUUUUCUUGAUGUUGAAACUUCAGGGCCCAUAAAUUGUCCAGAUGUAAAAGUCACAAAUGGACCCUUUACUACGAGUGAAAUUCAGAUGUUUCAGUGUUCUAAGCAACCUGCACAAGAAAAGGUUUCUUGUCCCCACUGUUCCUCUUCCCUCCCUGGUGCCUACAGCACACCUUGCUGGGCAGAGGCUGCAGAGUGCCCAGAGCCCUCCCAGCAGAGGGGAAGCAGCUCAGCUCUGGGCCAGCCCUGCUCCAGCUGCCCACCCUGCUGCAGUGCUCCUGCCAGGAGCUGGGGCAUCUCACCUCCUGUGUGAGGGGCUCUGCAGGAAGCCUCGAGCUGACAAACACAGGAUUGGAAGCUGACACUUGUUAAUGAGAACAGGGUGAGUGGGCUGAAAUGGCCAUGUCUUUUACAGCCCUCCCAAAGGCUGCCUCCCAGGGCUGAGGAAGCUGGACUGACACAGGCUGGGGCCGUGUCCUGAGGAGCACUGCACAAACACAGCCCAGGCAGCCAUGGAGCAGGCACAGCCACAGGCUCUGUGCCACACCUCCAGCUGCAGCAUCACUAUUGCUCACCUUCCUAAGAUGGGAGGUCUCACACACACAGGAGUGUGGUAACACAGGUCCCACCCCUGGUUUGAGCCUAGAGUUAGGUGGUGGUGUCAGGCUGAUGUGCUGACCCACAUGAGCAGUGUGGAGCACUGUGCUGAAGCACUGGGGAGUGGUUCCAAGUCCAUGCUCUCGCCCUGCUGGCCAAGGAGCAGUGAAGGCAGGACCCUGCAGGAGAGCAGCCCAUGCUGAGUGCCCUGGGGCACAGCUCUGAACCAUCAGCUCUCCUGACACCAGCCAGACACCCUGCUACUGAUGGGUGGUGGUUUGCUUGUUGUUUGGUUAGCUUUAUCAGUGGAUGGAGCGAUACAAGGAAGAACUUCAAUGGAAAUAAAGGACUUUUUCACCUACAGCUGCAUCUAAGCAUUUAACUUGCAUAGUACACUCAAAAUGAAGCUUUCUUGAGCAGCAAUCCUGCAUGUCUCCUAGAAACUCCUAACAGGAGAGGGUUACAACAAGCAUAAGCAACAUCUAGCAGUAGGUCGUCUCUUUUCCUUCCCAGUGUUUAGUAAACCACCACCACACUGAUAGGGCUAUGUGGUUUUGGUGCCAAUUAUUAGCCAUUUUUCUUUCGCUGCUGCUACAUUUAAAAGACAUUUUCAUCAGCUGUUACUGACAUAGGGAAUACCUUGGUUUUUAAAAAAUACUUUAUCUAGACGCAACACUUGAAAUUUGAAUUAAAAAAAAUUCUUGGACUUCUCUUAGUUAUUGCUGCAACAGUUAUUUUCAGUUCCAGGUUUAUAGUAGUACUUUUUUUUUUUUUAAUUAUAUAAAGCUGCCAUAAAAGUUUUCUUUUUUAAAGAGAAGCUUGAUCUGAAAUGUCUCUACUGCACCAGCUCUUUUAAUUUGCUGAGGAGCUUUAGUGCAAACACAUACUGCGUUUUCAUUUAUAAAGGAAUUCUAAAUAGGGAAUGUUAUAUAAAAAGCAGGAGAGAAUGUUUCGUAAGACCCUCGCUGUGUAAACGCCUAUUUAAUGAUGUACAGUUUCCCCCACUGCAGUUUUAUAUCCAUGCUUUCUACUAUUUGCAACAAAAUACCAUUGAGAUAGUUAUAUAUACACAUAUUCCCCCAUCCCCCUGCACUGUGCUUUUGGUUACUUUUCAGAAGAACUCCUGGAGACAAGCUCCAGCCUCCCAGUAGGAUCAGAAUCGCUCAGGACUGGAAGGUGCAGUACCUUUGGAAAAGGUACACUCUCUCCCUCCUGGAUGAAUCCCAUAAUGCAACUCAGAAAAAAAAGUGCUCAAGUAAGUGAGACUGCCUAAGUGUUAUGGAAUACUACACGGAGCCCAGUUCCAAGCUGACACUGAGGAAUCUGAAGUUAGAGCAAAUCUAUAGGAAGUUAUAUUAAUUCCUUGACUAUUCUCUAUUGCAGCAUUCACGGAAGUUCUCUCCUAUGACUUUAUUCAUGAUGAUGAGACAGGAGACAGCAAAACUUCCAGCCUGGCCCUCACAGCUCCUCCCCACAGAGCACAGCUCUGCUCCAGCCCUCAGCUCCUGCUCGGGACGAGCGCCCUGCGUUGGUGCUCACUGUGCUCUGCCACACCUGACUGAUCACAGCUGCAAAUCUAACACACACAUGGAAUUGUUACACACACUGAACAAAGCAGUACACAUUCAACUAAGGUUGUCUUGGAUCAUUUCUGCUCCAUAUAAAAACAUAUGGAAAUCCCUAAGCUGCAGUAAGUGCUCAUGAGUAAGGUUGAAAGUACUUAUUCCAACAACAUCGUUAUGUUCAAGGCAUUAGAAAUAAGGGGGCCAUCCACUGACAGUGAUUCAUGCAAAAUAAACCUAAACUUUAUUUAAAAAAAAAAAAGGGUACAAAAUACAGAGAGUGCUUACUGUAAAAAAUAAAGUUACUGAAGGCUCUAACCACCAAUUGGGUAUGAAGGUACACAAGCCUCUCACCAGGGCAGAGUACUGGGAUGGCAGCACUAAAUCAGCACUGAUGCUACCCCAAAUCAGCUGCCAAACCUGUACAGGAGCAGAACACCCCAAAACAAAGCAUAACUAAGAUACACAACUUCAAAAAAUUUAAUUCUGAAUGGAAGUUAACCUACGAGAACAAGACAGCCUGAUAUACCUCUGUGUAAAUGCUUAAAAGGGAACAACAUUUUAUAUCCAUUUACUGCAUAAUUUAUUGCAGGCAGAAUGUAUAAAAAAAAAUUGCAUCUUUCUGGAAUUGUAAAUCAAGCAGGUUUAAGAAGAACCUCGGUUUUAAUGUGCAAUAUUCAAAUUUAAAAAUUUAAAAUCUCUCCCAUAACAAUUUUGGUAUACAAAUGGGUUCCAAGGCUAGCCCUUUAUCCCCACAGCAUUUGCUUUGAGGUACUUUAAAAAUUGAAGUUGCAAGAAAGAAUAUCACAAAUGACUCAUUGCAAUGAAAUGCUAAUCUGCAGUCGAGUCUUAUUUUACGUGCUUCCAAGUGCAAUUUAGGAAGUAAAAAAAAAAAAAAA